This 497-nucleotide ribosomal RNA is filed under the name uncultured bacterium. RNAcentral describes it as "partial 16S ribosomal RNA". It matches the Rfam family "Bacterial small subunit ribosomal RNA", at positions 28 to 507 of the family's 1533-position model. The record is from RNAcentral.
GAUGAACGCUGGCGGCGUGCCUAAUACAUGCAAGUCGAGCGAACGGACGAGAAGCCUGCUUCUCUGAUGUUAGCGGCGGACGGGUGAGUAACACGUGGAUAACCUACCUAUAAGACUGGGAUAACUUCGGGAAACCGGAGCUAAUACCGGAUAAUAUUUUGAACCGCAUGGUUCAAAAGUGAAAGGCGGUCUUGCUGUCACUUAUAGAUGGAUCCGCGCUGCAUUAGCUAGUUGGUAAGGUAACGGCUUACCAAGGCAACGAUGCAUAGCCGACCUGAGAGGGUGAUCGGCCACACUGGAACUGAGACACGGUCCAGACUCCUACGGGAGGCAGCAGUAGGGAAUCUUCCGCAAUGGGCGAAAGCCUGACGGAGCAACGCCGCGUGAGUGAUGAAGGUCUUCGGAUCGUAAAACUCUGUUAUUAGGGAAGAACAUAUGUGUAAGUAACUGUGCACAUCUUGACGGUACCUAAUCAGAAAGCCACGGCUAACUACGUG